UAUCUCUGUAGAGUCUGCAUAUCAAUAAGCGGAGGAAAAGAAACUAACUAGGAUUCCCUUAGUAACGGCGAGUGAAGCGGGAAGAGCUCAAAUUUGAAAUCUUCAAGGUUCUACCUUGACGAAUUGUAGUUUAAAGAAGUGUUUUCUGUUGGAGUUUUGGUAAAAGUUCUUUGGAAUAGGACAUCAUAGAGGGUGAGAAUCCCGUAUUUGACCAUUAUUUCCAGCUUUGUGAUACACUUUCAAAGAGUCGGAUUGUUUGGGAAUGCAGUCCAAAAUGGGUGGUAGAUUUCAUCUAAAGCUAAAUACUGGCGAGAGACCGAUAGCGAACAAGUACCGUGAGGGAAAGAUGAAAAGAACUUUGAAAAGAGAGUUAAACAGUACGUGAAAUUGUCAAAAGGGAAGCGUUUGACACCAGUGUUGUUUUUCCAAAAAUCAAUUACGAAUGGCUUGAUUUUGUGUUGUAUUGACCUUAUCAGCUUUCUGCACUUUUUUCGAGUCUUUCUUAAUGCACUUUUCGGUUAACAAGUCAACAUCAAUUUCUUUUGUUGUAAAAGAGUAUUCGGAAGGUGGCUUUCUUUUCGGAGAAAGUGUUUAUAGCCCUAUACUUCUACAAUCGGAGAGAUUGAGGUCUGCAGCGUAGAUCCUUCGGGGUAGAUACACUUGUGCUAAGUUGUAGCUUUUCAUAGACAACUUGUUGACUAUGUUUAGUCAUGCGGCUUACUCGCUUAUGCUAUUUUACCUACGCUUAGGAUGUUGAAGAUGUAGCACAUCAU
This 773-nucleotide ribosomal RNA is filed under the name uncultured Neocallimastigales. RNAcentral's name for it is "partial large subunit ribosomal RNA". It matches the Rfam family "Eukaryotic large subunit ribosomal RNA", at positions 24 to 643 of the family's 3401-position model. The record is from RNAcentral. Lineage: Eukaryota; Fungi; Neocallimastigomycota; Neocallimastigomycetes; Neocallimastigales.